AGUGAACGCUGGCGGUAGGCCUAACACAUGCAAGUCGAACGGCAGCACAGGAGAGCUUGCUCUCUGGGUGGCGAGUGGCGGACGGGUGAGGAAUACAUCGGAAUCUACUUUUUCGUGGGGGAUAACGUAGGGAAACUUACGCUAAUACCGCAUACGACCUACGGGUGAAAGCAGGGGACCUUCGGGCCUGGCGCGAUUGAAUGAGCCGGUGUCGGAUUAGCUAGUUGGCGGGGUAAAGGCCCACCAAGGCGACGAUCCGUAGCUGGUCUGAGAGGAUGAUCAGCCACACUGGAACUGAGACACGGUCCAGACUCCUACGGGAGGCAGCAGUGGGGAAUAUUGGACAAUGGGCGCAAGCCUGAUCCAGCCAUACCGCGUGGGUGAAGAAGGCCUUCGGGUUGUAAAGCCCUUUUGUUGGGAAAGAAAUCCAGCUGGCUAAUACCCGGUUGGGAUGACGGUACCCAAAGAAUAAGCACCGGCUAACUUCGUGCCAGCAGCCGCCGUAA
This 506-nucleotide ribosomal RNA is filed under the name uncultured bacterium. Its description in RNAcentral is "partial 16S ribosomal RNA". It matches the Rfam family "Bacterial small subunit ribosomal RNA", at positions 29 to 523 of the family's 1533-position model. The record is from RNAcentral.